AGUGAGCAAGGCAGGUGUGAGCUCUUACCUCCUGGAUCCUGGAGUCUGGAUGGGAAUCCAUUAAAAGAAUUUAACUUCAGUCUCCAGAUCUCACCAACUGUGACUGCAGAUAUGUCAUGUAACCUUCAGUAUUCAAACCAAAGCAAUCUGGAGCAGUCUACUUAGAAAGAUUUCCUAGAAUCAUACCUUGCCCUCAGGUGAGAUCAUCUGCCAAUGAGAUAAGACUGUAUUCCUGACCAUGAUGUGAAAAGAUGUCAGACACACCUCAUUCUACCCCCUCAUUUAGGAAAAACUGACCAGCAUUAACAUUACAAUAGAGAUCAUAUAACUGCCAAAACAGACUAUUUUGUGGCGACAAGAUACCAAAUUCUAACCUGAUUCUGGGAUAGCAUCACCGUGAUAGGAAGGACACAAAGUCCAGGAGACUUGCAUUUGGGGCUGGAGUGCAAUGGCACGAUCUCGGCUCACCGCAACCUCUACCUCCUGCAACCCAGAGAUUUACUUCUUGUCUACGAGGAACAAUGAGCCCCUGGCCCAACCUGUGGAACACAGGCCAUGCAAGUGAUUAAGGCCCUGAGUUUUGGAUUCAAUGAAUGUUGCCACGUGGAGGUUGUUAAGGGGAGGACGUCCCGUGAAAAUGCUGUAAAAGCUGCAGACUGCUUGCAAGCAGUUAGCGUUUUCCUGCCCAGCCCGAUGCUGCUGGGCUGUGCGUUUAUCUUGCUCAGCCCAUGUCCCUGGACUUGUCCAGCCAACUGCCGCUGCGCCAUUUCUGGAGGUAAGGUGGUUCUCCAGUCCAGCCUGUCACUCUGGACCCUCUCCCCUGUAUGGAAGCCCCUAGAAAAACCCCAUAUUUCAUUUCCUGGACCUGGGUCUCUUCUACCUCUUGAACCUGUUUCCUUCCCUACUGAGCUUAAUAACGGAGGCUGGGUACAGCAAC
This is a long non-coding RNA of Callithrix jacchus (white-tufted-ear marmoset), 937 nucleotides long. RefSeq lists it as uncharacterized. NCBI's taxonomy places the organism in Eukaryota, Metazoa, Chordata, Mammalia, Primates, Cebidae. The record is from RefSeq and is a predicted model, not a curated record.